Molecule: ribosomal RNA, 468 nt
Filed under: uncultured bacterium
Lineage: Bacteria
Description: partial 16S ribosomal RNA
Rfam family: Bacterial small subunit ribosomal RNA
Source: RNAcentral
UAGGGAAUCUUCCACAAUGGACGCAAGUCUGAUGGAGCAACGCCGCGUGAGUGAAGAAGGUUUUCGGACCGUAAAGCUCUGUUGUUGGUGAAGAAGGAUAGAGGUAGUAACUGGCCCUUUAUUUGACGGUAAUCAACCAGAAAGUCACGGCUAACUACGUGCCAGCAGCCGCGGUAAUCGUAGGUGGCAAGCGUUGUCCGGAUUUAUUGGGCGUAAAGCGAGCGCAGGCGGAAGAAUAAGUCUGAUGUGAAAGCCCUCGGCUUAACCGAGGAAUUGCAUCGGAAACUGUUUUCUUGAGUGCAGAAGAGGAGAGUAGAACUCCAUGUGUAGCGGUGGAAUGCGUAGAUAUAUGGAAGAAUACCAGUGGCGAAGGCGGCUCUCUGGUCUGCAACUGACGCUGAGGCUCGAAAGCAUGGGUAGCGAACAGGAUUAGAUACCCUGGUAGUCCAUGCCGUAAAACGAUGAGUG